GCCGCCCUAGCUCAGUCGGCAGAGCGAUUCACUCGUAAUGAAUAGGUCUGGGGUUCGAUUCCCCAGGGCGGCU
RNAcentral lists this transfer RNA (73 nucleotides) under Cellulomonadaceae bacterium. RNAcentral describes it as "tRNA-Thr". It matches the Rfam family "tRNA". From Rfam's summary of the family: Transfer RNA (tRNA) molecules are approximately 80 nucleotides in length. Their secondary structure includes four short double-helical elements and three loops (D, anti-codon, and T loops). Further hydrogen bonds mediate the characteristic L-shaped molecular structure. tRNAs have two regions of fundamental functional importance: the anti-codon, which is responsible for specific mRNA codon recognition, and the 3' end, to which the tRNAs corresponding amino acid is attached (by aminoacyl-tRNA synthetases). tRNAs cope with the degeneracy of the genetic code in two manners: having more than one tRNA (with a specific anti-codon) for a particular amino acid; and 'wobble' base-pairing, i.e. permitting non-standard base-pairing at the 3rd anti-codon position. The record is from RNAcentral. Lineage: Bacteria; Bacillati; Actinomycetota; Actinomycetes; Micrococcales; Cellulomonadaceae.